AAGGGUGGUACGUUUUGGCAAACGUGGGAAAUUGAGUCCGCGAUUCAUAGGGCCAUGUGAGAUUUUAGAGAGAAUUGGCCCAGUUGCUUAUCGUUUAGCACUACCACCAGAGCUAUCUCAGAUUCAUGAUGUCUUCCAUGUAUCCAUGUUAAGGAGAUACAGAAGUGAUCCUUCCCACAUUCUCCAGAAAGAGCCUAUCGAGUUGAGGAAAGAUUUAACAUAUGAAGAAGAGCGAGUAGAGAUCAUUACCAGAGAAGAGAAGGUUCUAAGGAGCAAGAUAAUACCCCUGGUUAAAGUUCGAUGGAGUAACCAUUCUGCCAAAGAAGCUACUUGGGAAAAAGGAGAGAAUAUGCGAAUUCAAUUUCCACAUUUAUUUCCUUCACCAGGUAUGUAAAUUUCGAGGAUGAAAUUUCUAUUAGGAGGAGAGAAUUAUCAGGCCUUGGCCCAGCCCACAAAAAAAAAAAAAAAUAGCCCGUAAAAUAAAUAAAGAAAUAAAUAAAUAAAAAAUUAAAACAUUAAAGGCUCUGGUUUCUUCCAGAGCCUUCAUUUGCGUGAAGUAGAGAAAAAAACAAAAAAGAAAGAAAAGCAGCAGAAGCAGGGGCAAGCAGAGCAUUGCUCUGUUAUUUCAAAAAAAAAACAAAAUCAUUCUCUUUAAUCCAAAUCUCUUUCCUCUCAACCCGAUCAACCCACAAACUUCUAAAAUCCUUCAGCUAGAUCCUAAUAUCCUGCUCAGAAAUUCAAUAUUUUCUUCCAGAGGUUCCAAAAUUGGGUAGGUGAGUUUUAUUCCCUUUAUUCGAUUUAUUGCGAUAUAAUUUAUUUUUUCUACUUUUUAAGAAUUAUUUGGUGAAUUGAGAAUCAAAAGGGAUGUAUUUAGGUUAGACCCAAGUAAUGAGAUUUAAUAUUUCUUUUGGGGAUUAAUGAUUUUUUUAUAGGUUAUUAAGUAUUUUUGUUGAGGUUGUUCAUUUUUGGGAGGUCUCGCUAUGGCGAAAUACUGCCGAAAUUUUCUUAAAAAUAUAUACAUAUAAAUAUAUUUAAAAUUUCGUAUUUUACGUUUUAUAUUAUUAUCCUAGUAUAUUUAUUUAUUAUUUGAUAUAUUAUUUUCUUUUUAAUUCUAGGAGAGGAUCCAGCUUUUGGGAUAAGUAAUAGGAGUGCUCCUGCGACCUAGGUUAUUCUAUCCUCAGUACUGGUGAGUGUAUAAAUAUAUAACAUUGAUAUUUUUCUUAAAUAUAUAUAUACUCAUAUAUGUUAUUUUGUUUAUUUAAGUUGGGAAAGGAUAACGAUAAUUUAUAUUUCUUGAAUGAAUGAAAAUUGAAUUUAAAGCACAGCUGAAUAAAUAGCCGAUUACACUCUGUAUAUGCACCGAAUAGAUAACACAUUGAUGACUGGUGAUUUAUUUUCAGUAUAAUAUAUAUUUAUACUGUCUUUGGGACAGUGCUUGAUAUACAGAUAGCCUUUGGGGCGUAUGUCAGGUGGUCACCCUUUGGGGGUAGCUCUGCACAUGUGUAUGACCAGUAUUUUGUUUGCUCUUGGGCCAAAAUUGUCAUCAUAGAGCCUAAGAUGCCAGCAUUGCUCUCAGGCUGUCGUUAUUUUAUCACACCUGAGAUGCCAGCAUUAUCUAUAGGGCACAUAUUAUGAGUGUAUGCAGAUUCUAUUUUUCACAGUUCAUUUUAUAUUAAUUGAAUUAAAUUGUAUUUAUUCAGCUGACUUAUUUUAGCUAAAUAUUUAAUACUAUUAAGUACUUAAACUUUAUCUUUUCCCCUUUGUUAUUUAUUUAUCCGCUCACUGAGUAUUUUGUACUCACCCUUAUACUUUUAAUAUUACAGCUCCUUUUUGGUGAUCCGCUCAGCAAUCCUCAUCUUCUUGUUUGUCCUUCUUCCUCAUCGUCCACUCAGAGUCUAGAGGAGGUCGGACCAAUCCUAGGUCUUUUGUCAUAUCUUUUGUAUAAUUUUAAAAGAUCAUGUAUAGAUUGUACAUUCCAUGAGGAACGUAUUUUGUUUAAUGUAAAUAUAUUAUGAAUUGACUAGAACAACCAUUAGUUUUCUCUUAUAUGUUUAAUAUUUUAAAAACUUAUAGCAGGUUAUAUGUAUUUAAAUGUAUAAAAUCAGGGGAAGUUCUGUCAGUUUUUCGAGUCAUAUCCGCCUCUACAGAUUAGAGAAUAGGUGUGACAAUUUUUAGUAUCAGAGCUUAGGUUAUAGAUUCUGUAGACUUUUCUUGAGUUAGUAUUCUUAAUUGUAUUCUGAUAAUUCUUCUCGUAUUGUCGUUUGUAGGACAAUGCCGCCUAGAGUAGGCAAUAGAAAUCGGGGCCGUGGUGUUCGUACAGCUAGAUUAGCCGAUAUUGGUCGACCUCAUAGGGAUCCUACAGUUACACCUCCACCUCUAGAUAGGAUGGCAGAUCAUGUUUUGCUUGAGAGCAGAGAAGGGCAUGGAGAUUCUGCUUCUCAUGGUGUUGAAUCAAGAACAUAUCCGGCUGCACCUUCAUUUCCUUCAGCACCUGCAGUUGCACCUCCUGUCGCAUCUGCAGCUCCACCUCUUGUUCCACCUGUAGCACCAGUUAAUCCUUUUCAGAUAAAUGCCGACCUGGGUGCUUUUGUGGCACAAGUAGUUACAGCAGCUGUUACAGCCAAACCUAGAGAUUCGUGGGAGAUAGUGGAUCGUGCUAGACAUUUGGGAGCUUAUGAUUUUGAGGGUUCUUCUGAUGCUGACAUUGCAGAUAAAUGGUUAAAGAAAGUGCUAAAAGUGUUUGAAUUAAUGAAGUUGACUGAUGCAGAUAAAGUAGAUAAUGUACAUGGAUUGCUUCAGGGUAAAGCUGAUGGUUGGUUUGAUGGCAUUCAUCGCAGACAUAGAGUCAGACUGACUUGGGAUCAAUUUAUAUAUGAAUUUUGCCAGGAGUAUUUGUCAGAAAGUUACAGGAAGGGGAAACAGGAUGCCUUUCUCAGGUUGUUUCAAGGAAGCCUCUCAAUAAGAGAGUAUGUUGACAAGUUUGAAGAUCUUUAUUGCUUUGUGUCAGAUAUACUACCUUUUGAGGAAGCUAAAUGUGAUAGAUUUAGACAGGGUCUACAUGUCAAUAUCAGAUCAUCUAUGACCUGGUUCAGAGGUAAUAAUUUCAGAGAGUUGGUGGAAGCAGCUUUGAAUGUUGAGAAAGUUAAGCAAGAAGAGAAAGAGUAUGAGCAGAGGAUGAGUAGAAAACAUAUGCAGGAUUCACAGGGGUUCAGAGAAAGACCAGCUAAGAGAUGGAGCAGUUCAUUUCAGUCCCAAGCUGGAUACAGAGGUAGUGGUAGAGGUUCUUUUGUUAACACAGAGCAGCAGGUUGCUCGACCACAAUCUAGUCAGAGUUCAGUAGCAUAGCCAGUGGGUAGUUCCUUUGGGGCACCGACACAUGGGCAAGGAUAUAAUUCUGGGUUUGAGCAAAGGAAGAGACAUUUUCCUCAAUGUGCCACCUGUGGUAAAUAUCAUGCUGGGGAGUGUAGAAAAUUCGAUAGGGGUUGUUUUGAAUGUGGCUCUUCGGGGCAUUUUAAGAAAGAUUGUCCAUUGCUGAUAGCCAGAGACAGUGGUUCUCAGCAAGGGUCAGUGGCACCUCAGAAUCUAAAGUAUGGUAUGACACUAUCACAGGGAGUACCUACGGCACAAGUUGGACCAAGCACAAGCAGAGCCAGUGGAGCUACUUCAUCUUCUCAGCCUAGACCAAUGAUGCAACCUGGCAGACCUCGCACUCAAGCCAGAGUUUUUGCUAUGACACAGCAGGAGGCACGAGCAUCUUCAGAGGUGGUGACUGGUAUGUUAACUAUUUUUAAUAAAGAUGCGUACAUUCUUACAGAUCCUGGUUCUACUCACUCUUUCAUAUCUCAAUCAUUCUCUAAGCAUGCUGAUAGAGAAUUAAAACCCUUAGACUGCGGAUUAGCUGUGAGUACUCCAGUUGGGGAUUCUGUUGUAUGUGAAUAUGUGUAUAGGGAUUGUGUUGUUAAGUUGGGAAAUCAUGAGCUGUUAGUGGAUCUAAUUCCUUUGUGUCUACAAGAUCUGGAUGUCAUCCUAGGUAUGGACUGGUUAUCCCGUCAUCAUGCCACAAUAGAUUGCUUUGAGAAAUCAGUGGUAUUUAAUACUCCAAAAGGGUCCAAGUUCACUUUCUUUGGGGAGAGGCGUUUAUUUCCUUCUUAUGUGAUUUCCGCCAUGACCACUAGGAAGAUGCUUCGGAAGGGUUGUCAAGCAUAUUUAGCCUAUGUGGUGGACAGUAACCUAGAAGGACCUAAAUUGGAGGAUAUACAAAUAGUAAACGAGUUUCCUGAUGUAUUUCCUGAAGAACUUCCUGGGUUGCCUCCAGAUAGAGAGAUUGAAUUCUCUAUAGAUUUAAAUCCAGGUACAGCUCCUAUUUCUAUGGCACCAUACAGAAUGGCCCCAGCAGAAUUGAAGGAGUUAAAAGCACAAUUGCAGGAGCUACUUGAUAAAGGUUUCAUAAGACCCAAUGUUUCACCUUGGGGAGCCCCUGUGCUAUUUGUGAAGAAGAAGGAUGGUUCCUUAAGAUUGUGUAUUGACUACAGACAAUUGAAUCGAGUUACUGUGCGAAAUAAGUAUCCUUUACCCCGCAUUGAUGAUCUUUUUGAUCAACUCCAAGGUGCUAAAGUAUUCUCUAAGAUUGAUUUGCGGUCUGGGUAUCAUCAAUUGAAGAUCAAGGAGUCUGAAAUACCUAAGACAGCCUUCAGAACUCGUUACGGGCAUUAUGAGUUCCUUGUUAUGCCUUUUGAGUUAACUAAUGCACCCACUGCUUUUAUGGAUCUCAUGAAUAGGGUGUUUAAGCCCUACUUGGACAGUUUUGUUAUUGUGUUUAUUGAUGACAUCUUAGUAUAUUCUCGUAGCAAGGAAGAGCAUGAGAUGCAUUUACGGAUAGUACUGCAAAUUUUGAGGAAUAAGCAACUAUAUGCUAAAUUGAGCAAAUAUGAGUUCUGGCUUGAUCGGGUGGUUUUCUUGGGACAUGUUAUCUCAGCAGAUGGAGUUUUGGUUGAUCCUAAGAAGAUUGAAACAGUAGUCAAUUGGGACCCUCCAACUAAUGUUACAGAGGUUAGAAGUUUUCUGGGCUUAGCAGGGUAUUAUUGUCGCUUUGUUCAGGAUUUCUCCAUCAUUGCAGCACCAUUGACUAAACUCCUUCGAAAGAAUGCAAAGUUUGAAUGGACAGAUGAAUGUCAAGAGAGUUUCGAGAAGCUUAAAACAUGUCUCACAUCAGCCCCAGUUCUUACCCUACCCUCAGGUACAGAUGGAUUUGUGGUGUAUAGUGAUGCUUCUCAAAAGGGUUUAGGCUGUGUACUCAUGCAACAUGGGAAGGUGAUAGCUUAUGCUUCUAGACAGCUUAGACCACAUGAAUUAAAUUAUCCCACCCAUGAUUUGGAAUUGGCUGCAGUUGUAUUUGCAUUAAAGACAUGGAGGCAUUAUCUUUAUGGCGUGACUUGCCAGAUUUUUACAGACCACAAGAGUUUGAAGUAUCUUCUCACACAGAAGGAGUUGAAUUUAAGGCAGAGACGGUGGAUUGAGUUACUUAAGCACUACGACUGUACUAUUGAAUAUCAUCCAGGUAAAGCUAAUGUGGUAGCUGAUGCCCUUAGUCGCAAGUCCUUUAGUAAUUUGGCUUAUCUCAAAAAAGUUCGACUUCCUUUGUUACUAGAGAUCAGAUCCUUAAGGGUAGAACUAGCAGUGGAUGAUGCAGGAGCAUUGUUAGCAACUUUCAAAGUUCGACCAGUGUUGAUAGAAAAAGUCAAGGAAGCCCAAAAUCAAGAUGAGCAGUUUAGUAAGAUCAGUAAUGAAGUAAGAGAUGGCACCCGUACCGACUUUUCUCUAAGGGAGUAUGGAACGUUAAUGUUUGGUGAUAGACUAUGUGUACCCAGAGUGGAAAGCUUGAAGAGAGAGAGUAUGGAGGAAGCCCAUUGUUCUGCUUACUCUAUGCAUCCAGGCAGUACAAAAAUGUAUAGAGAUCUUAAAGAAAACUAUUGGUGGCCAGGCAUGAAGAAAGAAAUAGCUGACUUUGUGUCCACAUGCUUAGUUUGCCAACAGAUUAAAGCAGAACAUCAACAUCCAACAGGAAAGCUGCAACCGCUCCCUAUUCUAGAAUGGAAGUGGGAACACAUUACUAUGGAUUUUGUUUCAGGGUUACCUCGUACUUCGCGUGGACAUAAUGCAGUAUGGGUGAUAGUUGAUAGAUUAACCAAGUCAGCACAGUUUUUGCCUGUCAGGAUGGAUUAUUCUUUAGACAAGUUAGCAGAGAUCUAUGUCAGUGAGAUUGUCAAACUUCAUGGUGCUCCAGUUUCUAUUGUUUCAGAUAGAGAUCCAAGAUUCACUUCUCAUUUUUGGCCUAGCUGCAAAAUGCUUUAGGAACUAAGUUGAAGUUUAGCACUUCUUUUCACCCUCAAACUGAUGGUCAAUCAGAAAGAACUAUUCAGACCUUAGAGGAUAUGCUGAGAGCUUGUGUGAUGGAGUUUAAAGGAAGUUGGGAUAGGCAUGUGCCUUUAAUGGAGUUCUCUUAUAACAAUAGUUAUCAUUCGAGUAUCAGCAUGGCUCCUUAUAAAGCUUUGUAUGGGAGGAGAUGUAGAACACCAUUGUGUUAAAAUGAGGUAGGGGAAAGACAAUUAGAAGGUCCAGAACUAGUACAAUACACCACAGAUAAAAUUCAGAUGAUCAGAAGUAGGUUAAAAGCAGCACAAGACAGACAGAAGAGUUAUGCAGAUCUGAAGAGAAGGGAUAUUGAAUAUAAUGUUGGCGACAAAGUAUUUCUGAAGAUCUCUCCUUGGAAAGGGGUGGUACGUUUUGGCAAACGUGGGAAAUUGAGUCCGCGAUUCAUAGGACCAUGUGAGAUUUUAGAGAGAAUUGGCCCAGUUGCUUAUCGUUUAGCACUACCACCAGAGCUAUCUCAGAUUCAUGAUGUCUUCCAUGUAUCCAUGUUAAGGAGAUACAGAAGUGAUCCUUCCCACAUUCUCCAGAAACAACCUAUCGAGUUGAGGGAAGAUUUAACAUAUGAAGAAGAGCCAAUAGAGAUCAUUACCAGAGAAGAGAAGGUUCUAAGGAGCAAGAUAAUACCCUUGGUUAAAGUUCGAUGGAGUAACCAUUCUGCCAAAGAAGCUACUUGGGAAAAAGAAGAGAAUAUGCGAAUUCAAUUUCCACAUUUAUUUCCUUCACCAGGUAUGUAAAUUUCGAGGACAAAAUUUCUAUUAGGAGGAGAGAAUUAUCAGGCCCUAGCCCAGCCUACAAAAAAAAAAUAAAGUAAAUAGCCCAUAAAAUAAAUAAAGAAAUAAAUAAAUAAAUAAUUAAAACAUUAAAGGCUCUGGUUUCUUCCAGAGCCUUCAUUUGUGUGAAGUAGAGAAAAAAACAAAAAAGAAAGAAAAGCAGCAGAAGCAGGGGCAAGCAGAGCAUUGCUCUGUUAUUUUUUUUUAAAAAAAAAACCUUUUCUUUAAUCCAAAUCUCCUUCCUCUCAACCCGAUCAACCCACAAACUUCAAAGAUCCUUCAGCUAGAUCCUGAUUUAAAUCUAUAUCCUGCUCAGAAAUUUAAUAUUUUCUUCCAGAGGUUCCAAAAUUGGGUAGGUGAGUUUUAUUCCCUU
RNAcentral lists this long non-coding RNA (7572 nucleotides) under Manihot esculenta (cassava). Its description in RNAcentral is "long non-coding RNA (MESC_LNC012444)". The record is from RNAcentral. Lineage: Eukaryota; Viridiplantae; Streptophyta; Magnoliopsida; Malpighiales; Euphorbiaceae.